Molecule: ribosomal RNA, 460 nt
Filed under: uncultured bacterium
Lineage: Bacteria
Description: bacterial SSU rRNA
Rfam family: Bacterial small subunit ribosomal RNA
Source: RNAcentral
GAUGAACGCUGGCGGCGUGCCUAAUACAUGCAAGUCGAACGGAGAUUGUAGCAAUACGGUCUUAGUGGCGAACGGGUGAGUAACGCGUUGGUAACCUGCCCCGAAGCGUGGGAUAACGGUCCGAAAGGACCACUAAUACCGCAUGUGAUCCCGAGGAAUAGAUACUUGGGAUGAAAGGAGCAAUUCGCUUCGGGAGGGACCUGCGUCCCAUCAGCUAGUUGGUAGGGUAACGGCCUACCAAGGCGAUGACGGGUAGGGGACCUGAGAGGGUGGCCCCCCACAAUGGAACUGAAACACGGUCCAUACACCUACGGGUGGCAGCAGUAGGGAAUAUUGGUUAAUGUGCGAAAGCGCGAACCAGCAACGCCGCGUGUGCGAUGAAGGCCUUCGGGUCGUAAAGCACUUUUUGCAGGGAAGAGGAAGGACGGUACCUGCAGAAUAAGUCUCGGCUAACUACGUG